Molecule: ribosomal RNA, 448 nt
Filed under: gamma proteobacterium GA-11
Lineage: Bacteria; Pseudomonadati; Pseudomonadota; Gammaproteobacteria
Description: bacterial SSU rRNA
Rfam family: Bacterial small subunit ribosomal RNA
Source: RNAcentral
GAGCUCAGAUUGAACGCUGGCGGCAGGCUUAACACAUGCAAGUCGAGCGGUAACAGGGGGAGCUUGCUCCCCGCUGACGAGCGGCGGACGGGUGAGUAAUGCAUAGGAAACUGCCCAGUAGUGGGGGAUAGCCCGGGGAAACCCGGAUUAAUACCGCAUACGCCCUUUGGGGGAAAGCAGGGGAUCUUCGGACCUUGCGCUAUUGGAUGUGCCUAUGUCGGAUUAGCUAGUUGGUGGGGUAAGAGCCUACCAAGGCGACGAUCCGUAGCUGGUCUGAGAGGAUGAUCAGCCACAUCGGGACUGAGACACGGCCCGAACUCCUACGGGAGGCAGCAGUGGGGAAUAUUGGACAAUGGGGGCAACCCUGAUCCAGCCAUGCCGCGUGUGUSAASAAGGCUUUCGGGUUGUAAAGCACUUUCAGUGAGGAGGAAAACCUUACGACUCAAUC